This 497-nucleotide ribosomal RNA is filed under the name uncultured bacterium. Its description in RNAcentral is "partial 16S ribosomal RNA". It matches the Rfam family "Bacterial small subunit ribosomal RNA", at positions 28 to 507 of the family's 1533-position model. The record is from RNAcentral.
GAUGAACGCUGGCGGCGUGCCUAAUACAUGCAAGUCGAGCGAACAGACGAGGAGCUUGCUCCUCUGACGUUAGCGGCGGACGGGUGAGUAACACGUGGAUAACCUACCUAUAAGACUGGGAUAACUUCGGGAAACCGGAGCUAAUACCGGAUAAUAUAUUGAACCGCAUGGUUCAAUAGUGAAAGACGGUUUUGCUGUCACUUAUAGAUGGAUCCGCGCCGCAUUAGCUAGUUGGUAAGGUAACGGCUUACCAAGGCGACGAUGCGUAGCCGACCUGAGAGGGUGAUCGGCCACACUGGAACUGAGACACGGUCCAGACUCCUACGGGAGGCAGCAGUGGGGAAUCUUCGGCAAUGGGCGAAAGCCUGACGGAGCAACGCCGCGUGAGUGAUGAAGGUCUUCGGAUCGUAAAACUCUUUUAUUGGGGAAGAACAAAUGUGUAAGUAACUAUGCACGUCUUGACGGUACCUAAUCAAAAAGCCACGGCUAACUACGUG